GCCCUAUGGCUCUGUGCAGAAGACACAAGAAAAUUUUAAACUGUGUAUUUCUUCCACACCAAGGUAGUCAAACUAGGCUAUCCAUCUUCAUGGCAGCCAAAUAUAUCAAUUAUCUUGCAUAGUGCCAAGUAGGUGAUACUCGAUAAAACAAACGGGAUUACAGGCUAAGUCUCUCCUGUUUAGUUCAGUUAUUAGUGGUGUUUCUUUUAUAUAUAUAUAUAUAUAUAUAUAUAUAUAUAUAUAUAUAUAUAUAUAUGUGUGUGUGUGUGUGUGUGUGUGUGUAAAUUCUCAUUUCACAUAUCUUUGAAUUAAUAGUUUCAGUCAAGUAGUUCUGAAACAUUGAACAUUUAUAAGUAUUAGUCAGCUUUCCAUUACUGUGACAAUAUACCCAAAGUAAGCAACUUAAAAGAGAAAAGGUUUAUUUUGCCUCAUGGUUUCAGUACAUGGUUGCUCGACCCUGUUGCUUUGGGCCUGUGACAGAGAACACAUGGCAGAGGAGGCCUCUUCACCUCAUGGAGGCUAGGAAGCAAAGAGAGACAGGAUGUGGCCAGAGUCCUAAUAUCCCCUUCAAGGAUACUUCCCUAAUGACCUAACUUCUUUUCACUAGGUCUCCUAAAGGUUGAAGUACAACCACAGGGCUGCCAUUCAAGCCUUCAGCACAUGGACCUGGAUGGGACAUUUAAGAUCCAAACUCCAGUAACAUCUUUUAUACAAUUUUAUUUUUAGUUAUUCUCCAGAUGUUUACAUGAGUUAGAAAUAAGCAAAACAACAAAAGCUUUUAUGAUACAUAUACAUGCAUACAUAUUUAUAUAUAUAUAUACACACAUAUAUGUGUAUACAUGUGUAUAAAUUUGUGUGUUUGUGUGUAUGUGUUUUGCUAGGGAUUGAAUCCAGGGCCCCCCAUGCAUGCUACUAGGCAAAUGCUCUGCCCCUGAGCUACAGUCUUACUCUAAAUAUACUUUGAACUCUGUCACUUUUCUACUGAUAAUAUAAGAAGGAUUAGAUUAGGAACUAUGUUUAAAAAAAAAAAAAAGGUUUGAGCUUUAGUAAAUUACUGGUAGCACAGGUCUCUAAGUUGCUGAGAGGCUGGCCUCAAACUUGAGAUCUUUCUGCCUCAGUCUCCUGAGUUGCUGAGAUUACAUGUGCUGAUUGCUAUUGUUUUAAAGCACUAAGUUUUGGGGGUGAUUUUUUACAUAGAAAUGGAUAGAAUAAAGCCAAUUGCAGUGUGCAUGCCUGUAAUCCUAGCGGUUUGGGAGGCUGAGACAGGAGGAUUGUGAGUUCAAAGCCAGCCUUAGUAAUGGCAAGGUGCUUAGCAACUCAGGGAGACUCUGUCUCUAAAUAAAAUACAAAAUAGGGCUGGGGAUGUGGCUCAGUGGUUGAGUGCCUCUGAGUUCAAUCCUCAGUACCAGAAAGGAAGGGAAGGGAAGGGGAAGGGGGAGGGGGAGGGGGAGGGGGAGGGGAGAGAAAUGAAUAGAAUAUUGUCCUAAAACUUGGGAGUGGUAGAUUUAAACCUAAGCUGGCAACUUGGUCUGACUAGUUCAUGAUUGUCUUCCAGAGUCUUUUAAAAAAAAUUUAACCAUUUGUAAGCAUACACUUCUACAGUGUUAAAUAUGUUUGAACUAUUGUACAACCUCCAUCCAUCUGCAGAACAUUUGUCAUUGCACACUGGAAGUCUGUAUCCAUUAAAUAUCAACUCUCAGGGCUGGGUAUGUUGCUUAGUGACAGAGCACAUGUUUAGCAAGGUUCUAGGUUGGAUCCCCAACAAAGUAAAAAAGAAAACUCCUCAUUCUUUCACCCCUAUAGCCCCUGGCAACUACCAUUCUUGUUUCCAUUCCUAUGAUUUUUUUUUUUUUUUUUUUUUAACCAGGAGUUGAAUUCAGGGCUACUUAACUACUGAGCUACAUCCCCACUCCUUUUUUUUUUUUUUUUUAAAUAUUUUAUUUACAGACAGGAUCUUUUUUUUUUUAAUUUAUUUAUUUUUUAGUAUUUGGCGGACACAACAUCUUUGUCUGUAUGUGGUGCUGAGGAUCGAACCCCGGGCCGCACGCAUGCCAGGCGAGUGCGCUACCGCUUGAGCCACAUCCCCAGCCCCAGACAGGAUCUUGUGAAGUUGCUUAGGGCCUCAUCAACUUGCUGAGGCUGGCUUUGAACUUCUGAUCCUCCUGCCUCAGCCUCCUGAGAGCCUCUAUGAAUUUGACUACUCUAGGUUCCUUUAUAUAAUUGGAAUCACACAAUAUUUGUCUUUUGUGUGUGUGUGUGUGUGUGUGUGUGAGAGAGAGAGAGAGAGAGAGAGACUGGGUUAUUUCAAACACAAUAUACUAAUAAAUAAUGUGUAUUCAUUUGUAUAUAAAUUCAUUAAUAAAAGUUAUAUAUAUUUAUUUAUUUAAUCCAGGUCCCAUAUGUCCAAGAAGCAACAUGCCCAAGGCAGGAUAAGGAAGGAAGGAAGGAAGGAAGCAGUGUCUCUAAGAACCACAGUUCACAGUGUCGGGCCUCUAAAGAGAUCUGAAGAAACAGAAACCCAUGAAUCAAGAAUAAGAUAAGGCUAUUUGGUUUGUUUCAACCUGUGUGCCGUUUAGUUCCCUAUCAGAGCCCUGCCUGGAGAAUGAAAUCAUUUCCAUCACUCAGCCCUUCCAAAGAUCAUCAAACACAAACACACCGUCUGCUCUUUCAUUUCCUCUGUGUCCAGGGUGUGUACUGACUUGGUGGAAUUUCUGGGACCAGCUGUGGAUUACGUAUCAAACAAAAAAACGGCCGGAAGUUGGCUCUGGGGAGAGUGAGCCUUAAAUGCUGUUUGCUUACCCUGACUAGGAGUGAGCCUCUGGUGGCUUCUUAGACUGUCUCUGCCUUCCUCCCAGCCUAAGGGACAUAUGAAAAGGCAGUUCUGGGGUGUGGGACCUACUUUCAAUGAUUUGGUUCUCCUCUCACCACAUUCACCCUUAUUGUACCUAGACCAGCUGCUACACCUGGAAAGGAUGGAAGUGAUCUUUUUUAAUCUCUCAAGGUCUUACCCCACUGUCCUGGGCUGAAUUAUGUCCCGCCUAAUUCAUACGGUGAAGUCCUAACCUAACUCUCAGUACCUCGGAAGGUAACCAUCCUUGGAGAGGGGCUUUUUAAAGAGAUGGUCAAGUUAGGAGGAGCUCAUUAGGGUGGGCCCUACACCAGAAUGACUGGUGUCCUUAGAAGAAGAGAUCUGGGUGCACAGGUACAGAUUAAGGGAGAGAGGGAGAGGACAGCCUCCUGCAAGCCAAGCUCAGAGGCCGCUGACACCUUGAUCUUGGACUCAGCCUCCAGAGUGUGAGAAAAUACAGUCUUGUUGUUGAAGCCACCCUGUCUGUGGUGCUUUGUCACAGACCGAGACACCUAUCAAUGGGAAGUUCACAGCCCUGAUGUUGGACUUCAGAAAAGUUUUGAAAGUAAUAACCAAAAAUAUCCAAAGGCAAAAAUCUGGUGUUUUGGUAAAGAUUUUUUUUUUUUUUUUUACCGACUUCAGCAGGUCUAACGGAGGCAGUGAAGGCUAGGACCCAGAAUGCCCAGAGAGCAGUAGGGUCACUUACUAGGUGUCUGGGGCAUGAUCAAGAGACACUUCAUAGCUUGGCACUUGUAAUCCCAGCAGCUUGGGAGGCUGAGGCAGGAGGAUUGAAAGUUCAAAACCAGCUUCAGCAACUUAGUGAGGCCCUAAGCAACUCGGUGAGAUCCUAUUUCAAAAUUAAAAAGAAUAAAAAGGGCUGAGGAUGUGGCUCAGUGGUUAAGGGCCCUGGUUCAAUUCCUGAUACCAAAAAAAAAAAAAAAAGUUACUUCAUCCCUUCAAUCCCUCUCCUCUUCUCCUGCUGUUACUCUUUGACUCUUCUUCCCCCCAGCCCUUCCCACAACACUGCUUUAUUAUCCAGUAAGUCAGAAGAAAGGAGAAAUUUGCAUUUGCCCUUCUGACAUAGCAUUGUGCAAAUCCUGAUGCUGUUUUGGGUAUUUUUGUUGGGCGGGCUGGGGGGUUGAUAUGGGUUGAAGAGGCAGCUGCUGGAGUCUAAGCAGGGGGGUGAAUGGGUGGGUGGCAGGCAGAGGGGCCCCUAAAGAUGGUGACAUCCUAAUCUAUGACUGUUAUCUCACAUGACAAGGGGGACUUUCAUGAUGUGAUUAAAAUCUUAAAAUGGAAUGGUCAUCCUUGAUUAUCUCAGUGGGGUCAGUGUAAUCACAUGGGUACUUAUAAAAGGGAGGCCAGAAGUUCAGAGACAAAGGAGACCAGGGAAAGGGGGUGGGGAGGUUUGAAGAUCUAUCCUGCUGCUGGCUUAGAGGAUGGAAUUAGGGGCCACCAGCCAAGGAAUGCAGGUAGAUUGUCAGGGACAAUAAACCACUGAGCCACAUCCCCAGACGUAUUUUGUAUUUUAUUUAGAGACAGAGUCUCACUGAGUUGCUCAGCAUCUUGCUGUUGCUGAAGCUUUGAACUUGUGAUCCUCCUGCCUCAGCCUCCCAAGCCACUGGGAUUAUAGCUGUGUGACACUGUGCCUGGCUGCAGGUAGCUUUUUGGAGCUGGGAAAGGUAGGUAAAUGGAUUCUCCUUUUAGAACCUCAAUAAAAAGAACACAGCCCUGAUGACUCAUUUUUCGACUCCUGACCCCCAGAACUGUCAGUUAUUUGAGUUGUUUUAAGUGACCAAGUUUGUGGAGUUUGUUGCAGCAACCACAGGAAACCAAAACAGGAUCAAGAUCCUUGAGAACGGCUGCUAUGACAUUUAGACAGGCGGUACUCAGAGCUCAGAAAACAAAACGCAACGAAAAAGAGACAAAGCUUCCAUGCCUUAAAAACAGGGUGCUCAAACGGUGGUCUCCCUGCCACAGUGCAGCAGCACCUGCGAACUGGUGGGUCCAGUCCUCUCAGGCUCCCCCAGCACUGUGGGAUCAUAAACUUUGGCAAUGGGUCUGGUGACGGGCCCUUCCCAGGGUUCUGCUGCACACUAAGGUUCCCUGUAGAAAGAUGUGAAUGGGGCU
This 4978-nucleotide long non-coding RNA is filed under the name Marmota monax (woodchuck). Lineage: Eukaryota; Metazoa; Chordata; Mammalia; Rodentia; Sciuridae. The record is from RNAcentral.